GUUUAGCAAGGCAGAAGGAGCCCCCAAAAAGGUGGAUCCCCCAUAGUGGGGGGGGGGUCUGUGAUGCUGGGGGGGUUUUGGGGUGCCCUGACCCCCCCAUUUUCACCCAGGGGUGAAGGUGAUCCUGGACCUGACCCCAAACCCCGCCGGGAAUCCGGUGUGGGGGGACGCAGCCCAAGACUCUGAGGUGCACCAGCAGGUCCAGGCCGCCCUGAGCCAUUGGCUGAAGGAGGACAUUGCUGGGAUCUUCCUGGAUGGCAUCGAGGAGCUCCCGAACUUGGUGGUGGCCCAGUGGAGGAACCUGACGGAGCAGCAGCCGAGCCCCAGCGGUGUGGACAGGGUGCUGGUGGGGGGCACACGCCUGCAGGACCCCUGGGAGGUGCCGCGGGGCCCGGGGAUGCCGCAGCUGCUGCUGGGACCCUUCCUGCAGCCCCUGGAGCCCAAGGGCGACUCCAAGGCCCC
Molecule: long non-coding RNA, 462 nt
Filed under: Lonchura striata (white-rumped munia)
Lineage: Eukaryota; Metazoa; Chordata; Aves; Passeriformes; Estrildidae
Description: domestica (Bengalese finch) lncRNA (ENSLSDG00000004669.1)
Source: RNAcentral